CCAGAAUUAUUACGCUUGUCUCUCGAUUAAGCCAUGCAUGCUUUCCAUAUAAAGAAAAGGCAGUGUUGCGACUGCUAAAUCUGCGAAAAGCUCCGUAUACCUGUGUUAACCUUCCUGGUAUGUGUUCCUGGGUUAUCUUGCUCCUUCGGGGGUGGGAUCGAUCCAGGAUCAAUUUCUUAUAAUGCCCAUCAAAAGGCCUGUAGGAUUCAGUCGGAAGACUAAACGGAUAUCCGAUGGUAAUUCUACGGCCAAUACGUGAACCACGUUCUGAGGGAGUUUUGUCCUUACCUAGGCAAUUAUGGGGGUGGGAUUGUUUCUUCUUUUUUCUCUCCUGGAAGCCUUUCGGGGUUGAAAGGGGGAUUAUUGAGGUUAAGCAGCUUAUCUCUCGCUUGGGUAUGGGGCAAACUUGCUUCGUGAUGGGGGUAGAAAACACAAAAUCCAGGCAUCCCAGAGCUUGUAAGCCUCUCGAGGCCUUUUCAAGCCUGGAAAGUCGUGAAUUGAACCCCAUGACAGACCGCUGCUGUAAACAGGCGGCGGCAAGCUGGAAGGGAUUCAGUCCUAUCAACUAGUAAGCAGGGUAUUGUCCUGCUUAGGUUAUAACGGGUACAGAGGAUUCUGGUCUGAUCCUGGAGAGGGAGCCUUAAAAACAGCUCCCAGUUCUAAGGAAGGCAGCAGGCGCGAAACGUUCCCAAUGACUAACGGUUGAGGACGUUAGGAGACAUACCAAUGCCGGCUUCAUAUAAAAUGUCGGUAAUUGGAAUGAGGGUAUAUUAGACCCUGCAAACUACAAACGAUUAGUGGGAAAGUCUGGUGCCAGCAACCGCGGUAACUCCAGCACUAAUAGCGUAUUUUUAAAUUGUUGCAGUUAAAACGCUCGUAGCCGCAAAUCAGACUGCAGAGGUUAAGCGUGGAAUGUGGCUCCUUGACAACUCGGUCGUUGGGAUUUUGUGCUAUCCUGUCUGCGAGCUCUUCCCUUGCUGGAUUUUUGAAGGCUCGGGUUCUUGUGGAAAUAUAAAGGGAUGGUGCAUACUAUGGUUCCUUCAGCUGGGGAGGUUGUCCGUCCUCGCGCGCUCACGGUUGUCCCGAAUAUGGCCAGGCCAACAGUGCCUUUGCGCCUAGGGGCAUAUUGUCAGCGGCUUUUGCAGUACUGAUACCUGCCUUUCCUUCCCCUAUCCCUUCUCUCCUCCGGGUUACGAAGGUUUAGGGUUCAAAUCUGGCUGCCUUUGAGUAGGUGUCCGGAGAGGAAGGGCGUCAUACCUUGAGCAAAUUAGAGUGCUCUAGGCAGGUCAUGGGGGGGUAACCUUCCGGACGAUGAACAAUCCAGCAUGGGAUAUAUUUCCUUUUCAUGGUACCUUGACCUCGGCGAUGCCUGCUGGGAUCGAGGGACCUACUGCUGUUUAGGGGUUGCAGGGGGUAGCCAGACCAUGAGGCGAGGGGUGAAAUCCGUUGACCCUCGUGGGCUGAACUAAAGCGAAAGCAGCUUACCCAUAAUACUCCCGUUGGUCAAGAGCGAAAGUGGAGGGAUCGAAAAUGAUUAGAUACCGUUGUAGUCUCCACUGUAAAAUAUGCCGACCCCAGAUAGGGUCACGUCCCUUUCUGGACUCUCCCUGGAUGCCGGAGAAAUUAGAGCUGGCUCUGGGGGGAGUAUGGUCUCAAGGCUGAAACUUAAAGGAAUUGACGGAACAACACACCAGUAGUGGAAUCUGCGGCUUAAUUUGACUCAACACGGGGAAACUCACAGGGGUAAUAUAGGGUUAUGAAAGACAGCUUAAAGAGCUUUCUCGAGUACCCUAAGUGGUGGUGCAUGGCCGUUCUUAGUUCGUGGAUUGAUCUGUCUGGUUAAUUCCGCUAACGGACGAGACGACUGUUACCAUGUUUCCCAGGGUGUUGAAGCCUUUCCGUGAAUGUCGCCUUGUUCAGGUAAGUUAGUCUUAACGCUUCUAUCGUCGGCGAUGCCUUUGUCUUGAGGGGGUUUCGGCCUCUUUGAGCUGGUUGGUUCGUGGUUUAAGCUUAGGUACGGUCCCUGAUCAGCGAUGGUUUGGAUUUUCAUCAUUUCCCUGUUGGUACAUGGUAGCAUGGCUCUUUCAAAGGGUCCUAAAGUCGCAAUAACAGGUCAGUGAUGCCCCUUGAUACCUUUGGCUGCACGCGCGUUACAAUGGGUGGAAGGAACGGGUUUUCUCCUUGACCGAAAGGUUCGUGGGAAUCCUGGCAAAUCCGUCCAUAUUUGGGAUUGAGUGCUUUAGCGGUGCUCAUGAACAAGGAAUUACUAGUAGGAGCUGGUCAUCAACCAGCGCCGACUUCGUCCCUGUUGUUUGUACACACCGCCCGUCGCUCCUACCGAUUGAGCGAUCUGGUGAAGACUUCGGAACCCUAAACCAGUUCUGAGUUUUUUUCUCAGUAAAUCUUUUCGAGGGAUACACUGACAAAAAACCUUGAAUUUACCUUGAUUCAAGGGGGAUUAACCCACGCUUUCUUGUUUAUGUGAUCGGUUAGAGGUUGUAUCCCUUUCCCUGAGACCUCGAGGCUAGGCAAGUUCGAGGCAGCCCAUAUAGGGAUUCUUAAGACCCUGACCGGUUCAUGAACAGGACAAGCAAUGGUUAUCUGCCAUGCUCUUAAGGUUGAUUUGGUUUUCUUCGGUCAUUCUCUCGAAAAGCUGCCUUGAUCCAAGGGUGAUUAACCUGUAAUACCUUUUUUGUUGGGGUCAUCAACUAAGAGGUUGUGAUAGGUUGUUCAUCUUUGUUUUGAGACAUCCCCUUGACUCAGGGAAAUUAUCCUAACUACCACAUAACGAUCAUCGGUCAAAUGAUCUCUUCUAGUGAGUGCAGGAAAAUUUCCCUUGUUUAAAUAUCCCUUGACUCAGGAAAUAUCUACUACACAUAUCGAUCAUCGGUCAAUGAUCUCUGUGAGUGAGCACAGGAAAUUUCCCUUG
This 2929-nucleotide ribosomal RNA is filed under the name Cribraria cancellata. RNAcentral's name for it is "partial small subunit ribosomal RNA". The stretch from base 1 to 2373 matches the Rfam family "Eukaryotic small subunit ribosomal RNA". The record is from RNAcentral. Lineage: Eukaryota; Evosea; Eumycetozoa; Liceales; Cribrariaceae.